Neopsephotus bourkii (Bourke's parrot) is the source of this 3203-nucleotide long non-coding RNA. RefSeq lists it as uncharacterized. The transcript has 2 exons. Lineage: Eukaryota; Metazoa; Chordata; Aves; Psittaciformes; Psittacidae. The record is from RefSeq and is a predicted model, not a curated record.
CAUCGCAUCACCGCAGGCAUCUCCAUCCUGCCACCAUGGGUAUCCCAAUCCUGCCACCAUGGGCAUCCCAGUCCCACUGCCACAGGCAUUUGUAUCCCACCAUCAUGAGCAUCCUCCUACAGCACCGAUGCUUCCCACCUCCCUCCUCACUGUGGUUUCCCUGGAGGGUUCAGGCUCAGGGUAUGAUAAUAUACCUGAGGUCUGCAAAGCAUUAAAGCAUAUUGUCAGAUAUAUGAGCUCAUGGGGGAAGCAGGCCAGACACAUUUGUUACUGGGAGAGAAACUGCUUCUUGCCCUGACCCACGUCUAACUUUCUUUGUCUUUAUUGUUAUCUAUCAACACCUUCCUUACUCAUUUUGAAUAGUUACUUAGUUCCUGUCCUUGAUCACCUUCUCCCCAGUAUCCUCAGCAGCUGCUUGUAGGACCUGGCAUAUCAGGGAGAAAGGGAAAUCUUUCUCAAAAGAAUCUGUUCUCUCUCUUUAUUCCACAUUAAGAACUAACAGCUAUUUCCAGGUAAAUCAGUUCACCUUGUCAUCAGUGGAGAUUUUGGCAAAAACUGAAGAUCUCUCUGGUUUUAAUUGUUUCUUUGAAGGAAAUCACCUUAUGAAAAUUGAGGCCAGGCUUCUGUAGGAAACUAGAAGGGGCUCAGUGCAGUGAGGUUCUGCCUGGUUUUGUUGAAAUAGGGGCAGAGCUAUUUUUCUGCACAGUUGCUGUGGUUCAGAGACCUCAAAAGACAUCCAAGUUUGGUCUCUUGCUGGCAUCUAAUCCAUGAGUUGGUGAAGCUUUUCCUCCCCACUGGGGUGAUGUUCCCAUCAGAUUCUCUGUUGAGUUCCCAUAGACAAAAUGUUGGAUCGCUCAAAAUACUUGAAAAGUAAAGGAGAUGCUCGCACCUCUGGGACUGCAGCAAUGGCCAGAUAUGGAGAAGGAUGCAAACCUCUUUGAGUGAGAGUUUCAUGACUGUGAAGCUAUGGAGAAAAACAGCAAGAAAGCAAAAAAACCCAACCCCUACCGUUUUCCUCCAUGAAAUGAAGGAAAUGCAGUCAGACAACAACAGACAUCAGCUCAGGGGUAUAAAGUUAUCACAAAGAUAGCUGUGGGAAUUGAUUAAUUGCUCAGAUUUAAGUCACUCCUGUCCUUUUGGAGAUGUCAUGUCUUCUUUACUCUUUUCCCUUCCCUCAUUCCUGCCUGCUGCAUUUCUCUUUCCUAAUUUUAAGGGGGAUUGAGCACAGCAAAGGGAGGAAAGGGGCAAAGGCAGAAAGCUAUUGGGGGUGCAAAGGUUAAUCUUCUAAUGAAGUUGGCUAAUGGGAAAGACACAUUGGAGAAGAUCGCUCGAUGGCAAUUUAAAGGCAAUUUCAAAAGCCAAUUAAAGCUUUUUCCAACUCUUUCACCCGUGACUCUUUUAAAUGCUUUUCCGAACUUUGCUUGCUUGAAUUUGGCUUUCAUGGCAGGAAAACAGACUAAAACCAGAGAGACUGUCCAGAAAAUGAGGCUGUGCUCACCAAUGCAAUGUGUGUUUUGACACUGGCUCUUGCAGUAACUCAUCCUCCACCUGGGGCCUUGACAAGAUAACCCAAUAGAUAAAGUCUUCAGAAAAUAACAAUAAAGACCAAGGAAGAGGAGCCUUCCUGCUUCAUAGCCAUCUCUUCCCUUCCUUGUUGGGACCCAAAGGAUGGGAUUAUCUCAGCAUGUCCUGAAGGAUGCACAAGAAGUCAGCUACCUCAUGGCUCUUCAAGCUGUCUAAGCUGCCGCUGAAGUAACUUUCAACCAGACCUGGGGACCUGACAGAACACAUGGAGAAUGUGGUUGGAGUGAAGCCAGAGCAACUCAACAGGCCAUGCAUGGGGAAGGGAGCAAAUAGCCUUGUUGCGUCCAGUACCCCCAGUACUGAAGUCACUGGACUGGUCUCAUUCCCAGGUCAUUUUUCCAUGUGGAUUCAGUUCAGCCUCUAGUUUUCAGACCCUCCAGCUAGCGCUGGAAGGACAAAAAGUUAACUUCCCAUAGAAAACCAUGACUCUGUCCUCAGAAAGGCUGGAGAGCCCAAGCCUGGGACAAUUCAGCAGCCACAGGUUGAGGUACCUCAGCGAGGGACCCACACAGGAAUAAAUACUGGAGAAUCACUGCUCCUAAAACGAUCCUUUAUUUGUUGGCUGCUGGUCACAACCACUGACCUCAGAGCACUAAUAAUCCUGAAGGGCUCUAGAGGCUUUUUAGCAUGUGCAUUUUAAUGUAAUAAGCUUUGGCAUCUGAAAUGUUUUUUCCCUUCUUGGCUUCUCCUUUGGGCUUGGAAACAACAGGGUCAGCUCAGUCUUUGAGCAAAAGGAUGAAGACAACCCUCACUUUAAUGCGCAGAAUUAUAUCAUCAGCGGCCAGAGGUCACAUCCUGCUGUCUUUAUAAAGAUAACUCCAGCCCCCUCUUUUUCCCCACUCUUUUAUAAACCUGGCUCAACCCAUACCCCAUAGCAGCAGGACGACACAGAGCAACAUCUUGGAUUAGUUACGAGCUUUUCAGAUGCGCUCCAACUCAUAUUUCAUACCACUCCCCCCCCCCAGCCAUAAGAUCUGAGUUUGUCACAUUUACUGGAGACUGAAGUACAAACAUGUUUUAUUCAUUAUCUGUCCUCUUCUUCGCAACAAGCACCUGCAAAACAUUUCAGCUCUAGGCCGGAUCAACAAGGCUUCAUUAGGCAUGACACUUUCUCCCUGGCUUGGAUGAUGAAGAUACACUUUAUCCCUGCACUUCUAGUCUGUAAAACUGCCCAGAGAUCAUCACCUUAGAAGAAGGCAGACUCCCAAGACCUCAUGACUGAGGUGGAGAAAAAGGGAUUGAGGUAAUUACACAGCCCUGAUUGCUGUGAGCUGGGGGACACGGAGUUAUUUCAGCCUUGUUGCAUCACAGCUCUGCUUUAGCAGCAGCAGAAUGGAGGAGCACAGCUUUUGCAGAGUCUCAGACAGGGAGUUUGCAAGCUAUUGGGAGCACCCUCUAUUGUUAUCUUUAUUUUAAUCAGUGGUCAAUAUUAGAGAAGUGAUUCAACUCUCUUUGCCCACUGCAGCCCCAUCCUUUCCUUUUUGCCAGCUCUUCCCUCUUGGUUGAUGAAUAUUUAUUAGAUGCAAAACAGAAAAGCUUCACCAAGAGAGGCAAAAAAGCUCUUUUCCCUUCAAAAUCCAGCAGCUUGGGGUGAGCCUUGGAAAUAUGGGAGGAAUAAG